GAUGAACGCUGGCGGCGUGCCUAAUACAUGCAAGUCGAGCGAACGGACGAGAAGCUUGCUUCUCUGAUGUUAGCGGCGGACGGGUGAGUAACACGUGGAUAACCUACCUAUAAGACUGGGAUAACUUCGGGAAACCGUAGCUAAUACCGGAUAAUAUUUUGAACCGCAUGGUUCAAAAGUGAAAGACGGUCUUGCUGUCACUUAUAGAUGGAUCCGCGCUGCAUUAGCUAGUUGGUAAGGUAACGGCUUACCAAGGCAACGAUGCAUAGCCGACCUGAGAGGGUGAUCGGCCACACUGGAACUGAGACACGGUCCAGACUCCUACGGGAGGCAGCAGUAGGGAAUCUUCCGCAGUGGGCGAAAGCCUGACGGAGCAACGACGCGUGAGUGAUGAAGGUCUUCGGAUCGUAAAACUCUGUUAUUAGGGAAGAACAUAUGUGUAAGUAACUGUGCACAUCUUGACGGUACCUAAUCAGAAAGCCACGGCUAACUACGU
This 496-nucleotide ribosomal RNA is filed under the name uncultured bacterium. RNAcentral describes it as "partial 16S ribosomal RNA". It matches the Rfam family "Bacterial small subunit ribosomal RNA", at positions 28 to 506 of the family's 1533-position model. The record is from RNAcentral.